GACGAACGCUGGCGGCGUGCCUAAUACAUGCAAGUAGAACGCUGAAGAGAGGAGCUUCCUCUUCUUGGAUGAGUUGCGAACGGGUGAGUAACGCGUAGGUAACCUGCCUGGUAGCGGGGGAUAACUAUUGGAAACGAUAGCUAAUACCGCAUAACAAUGGAUGACACAUGUCAUUUAUUUGAAAGGGGCAAUUGCUCAACUACAAGAUGGACCUGCGUUGUAUUAGCUAGUAGGUGAGGUAAUGGCUCACCUAGGCGACGAUACAUAGCCGACCUGAGAGGGUGAUCGGCCACACUGGGACUGAGACACGGCCCAGACUCCUACGGGAGGCAGCAGUAGGGAAUCUUCGGCAAUGGGGGCAACCCUGACCGAGCAACGCCGCGUGAGUGAAGAAGGUUUUCGGAUCGUAAAGCUCUGUUGUAAGUCAAGAACGGGUGUGAGAGUGGAAAGUUCACACUGUGACGGUAGCUUACCAGAAAGGGACGGCUAACUACGUG
Molecule: ribosomal RNA, 497 nt
Filed under: uncultured bacterium
Lineage: Bacteria
Description: partial 16S ribosomal RNA
Rfam family: Bacterial small subunit ribosomal RNA
Source: RNAcentral